Molecule: non-coding RNA, 785 nt
Filed under: Synthesiomyia nudiseta
Lineage: Eukaryota; Metazoa; Arthropoda; Insecta; Diptera; Muscidae
Source: RNAcentral
AUAAAGUUUUAUUUUGGCUUAAAAAUUUAUUAUUAAUUUAAUUUAUAUGUAAAUUUUAGUAUGAAUUUUUAUUUAUUUAAAUAAUAAAUAAAUUUAAUUAUUCGCAGUAAUUAGUAUUAUUAAUUAAAGAAAUUUAGAAAUAGUAAUAUUAAAGAGUAUUGGUUAAAUUUGUGCCAGCAGCCGCGGUUACACUAAUGAUACAAGUAAAUUUUUAUUAGUUGAAGUUAAAUUAAAAAUAUAAAAAUUAAAUAUAAAUUUAUUAGGUGAAAUUUUAAAUUUAUUAAAGUUUAAUAUAAAUAAUUGAAGCUUGAAAAUUUUAAAAAUAAACUAGGAUUAGAUACCCUAUUAUUUAAAAUGUAAAUAAAUAAACUAAGGUAGUAAUAGUUAUGUUCUUGAAACUUAAAAAAUUUGGCGGUAUUUUAGUCUAUUCAGAGGAACCUGUUCUAUAAUCGAUAAUCCACGAUGGACCUUACUUAAAUUUGUAAUCAGUUUAUAUACCGUCGUUAUUAGAAUAUUUUAUAAGAAAGAUAAUAUUCAUAAUUUUUAAUAAGAAUGUAUAUCAGAUCAAGGUGUAGCUUAUAUUUAAGUAGAAAUGGGUUACAAUAAAAAUAUUUAAAUGAAUAUAAAUUUGAAAUGUUUAUUGAAGGUGGAUUUGAUAGUAAAAUUAUAAAGAUUAAUAAUUUGAUUUUAGCUCUAAAAUAUGUACACAUCGCCCGUCACUCUUAUUAUUAAGGUAAGAUAAGUCGUAACAUAGUAGAUGUACUGGAAAGUGUACCUAGAAUGCA